This 1430-nucleotide ribosomal RNA is filed under the name uncultured prokaryote. RNAcentral describes it as "partial 16S ribosomal RNA". It matches the Rfam family "Bacterial small subunit ribosomal RNA". The record is from RNAcentral.
GCUGGCGGCAUGGAUUAGGCAUGCAAGUCGAACGAGAAGCUCUAGCUUGCUAGAGUGGAUAGUGGCGAAAGGGUGAGUAACGCGUGAGUAAUCUGCCCCUAAGUUGGGAAUAGCCUCGGGAAACUGGGAUUAAUACCGAAUGUGGUCUUUUGUCGCAUGACAGAAUGACUAAAGAUUUAUUGCUUAGGGAUGAGCUCGCGUUCCAUUAGCUAGUUGGUAAGGUAACGGCUUACCAAGGCAACGAUGGAUAGCUGGUCUGAGAGGAUGAUCAGCCACACUGGGACUGAGACACUGCCCAGACUCCUACGGGAGGCUGCAGUCGAGAAUCUUCCGCAAUGGGCGAAAGCCUGACGGAGCAAUGCCGCGUGCAGGAUGAAGGCCCUUGGGUCGUAAACUGCUGUCACCGGGGAAGAACAUAAUGACGGUACCCGGAGAGGAAGCACCGGCUAACUACGUGCCAGCAGCCGCGGUAAUACGUAGGGUGCAAGCGUUGUUCGGAUUUAUUGGGCGUAAAGGGUUCGCAGGGGGUUUUUUAAGUCUGAUGUGAAAUCCCACGGCUCAACCGUGGAACUGCAUUGGAAACUGAAAGACUAGAGUAUUGGAGAGGUAAGUGGAAUUCCUGGUGGAGCGGUGGAAUGCGUAGAUAUCAGGAGGAACACCAAGAGCGAAGGCAACUUACUGGACAAUUACUGACCCUCAGGAACGAAAGCAUGGGUAGCAAACAGGAUUGGAUACCCUGGUAGUCCAUGCCGUAAACGUUGUAUACUAGGUGUGGGAGGAUUUAUCCCCUUCCGUGCCCAAGCUAACGCGAUAAGUAUACCGCCUGGGGACUACGGCCGCAAGGCUAAAACUCAAAGGAAUAGACGGGGACCCGCACAAGUGGUGGAGCAUGUGGUUUAAUUCGAAAAUACGCGAAGAACCUUACCUAGCCUUGACAUUGAUUGAACGGACCAGAGAUGGACCGGUGCCUUUCGGGGAACAUGAAAACAGGUGCUGCACGGCUGUCGUCAGCUCGUGUCGUGAGAUGUUGGGUUAAGUCCCGCAACGAGCGCAACCCUCGUCCUUAGUUGCCAGCAGGUUAAGCUGGGCACUUUAAGGAGACUGCCUUCGCAAGGAGGAGGAAGGUGAGGACGACGUCAAGUCAUCAUGGCCCUUAUGGCUAGGGCUACACACGUGCUACAAUGGGGCGUACAGAGAGUUGCGAUACCGCGAGGUGGAGCCAAUCUCACAAAGCGUCUCUCAGUUCGGAUUGAAGUCUGCAACUCGACUUCAUGAAGCUGGAAUCACUAGUAAUCGUAGAUCAGCAAUGCUACGGUGAAUACGUUCCCGGGUCUUGUACUCACGCCCGUCACACCAUGGGAGUUGAUUUCACCCGAAAUUGGGAAGCUAACCUUCGGGAGGCUACCACUUACGGUGGAAUUAGCGACUGG